RNAcentral lists this ribosomal RNA (485 nucleotides) under uncultured Methylophaga sp. Its description in RNAcentral is "bacterial SSU rRNA". It matches the Rfam family "Bacterial small subunit ribosomal RNA", at positions 328 to 805 of the family's 1533-position model. Lineage: Bacteria; Pseudomonadati; Pseudomonadota; Gammaproteobacteria; Thiotrichales; Piscirickettsiaceae. The record is from RNAcentral.
GCACGGGGGGCCUACGGGAGGCAGCAGUGGGGAAUAUUGGACAAUGGGCGCAAGCCUGAUCCAGCAAUGCCGCGUGUGUGAAGAAGGCCUUCGGGUUGUAAAGCACUUUCAAUUGGGAGGAAAAGUUAUUCGUUAAUAGCGUAUAGCCGUGACGUUACCAAUAGAAGAAGCACCGGCUAACUCCGUGCCAGCAGCCGCGGUAAUACGGAGGGUGCAAGCGUUAAUCGGAAUUACUGGGCGUAAAGCGCGCGUAGGCGGUUUAUUAAGUCAGAUGUGAAAUCCCCGGGCUCAACCUGGGAAUUGCAUUUGAGACUGGCAGGCUAGAGUGUGGUAGAGGUGAGUGGAAUUUCAGGUGUAGCGGUGAAAUGCGUAGAGAUCUGAAGGAACAUCAGUGGCGAAGGCGACUCACUGGGCCAUUACUGACGCUGAGGUGCGAAAGCGUGGGUAGCAAACAGGAUUAGAUACCCUGGUAGUCCACGCCCUAA